CUGGGGGGCAUGGAGCCGGAAGUGAGAGACCUGCCGCUGCAGUUCACCCGACGUCCCUGACAGGAGCAAGGGUGGGGGCACGCCAAUGACCUGUGACCUCCGAGUAAGAGAAGACACAGGAGCAGGCGGGAUGAUGACGCUGUGAGCAGAGGGAGGAAAAAUGUCUGCAGGAGAUAAAUAUGAAUCAGCAGAUCAUGUUCCUGCAGAAGCUUCGUUUUCCAGUGAUGAAGGACACAGUGAUGUGCUCACUGGACUCAAACUCUAAAAAUAAAACAACAAGGAGUCAGAAAAAACAACAGCUUGACAAGAAGAGGAGUUUAUUUAUCACACCUUUGCAAAAUAGGACACAAAGACUGAGCUCACAGCCUUCAGGGCUGUACAGGUCAUCAGCAGCAGUAAAGUCCACAUACACACACACACACACACACAUACAGUCACCUGCACACACUCUGCAGCCUUAGCUCACAUGGAUUUUUCACUACGUUAACAGAAGCACAGACAUGGUAUCGGCUCCUCAUCACUUGUUUCCCAUAAUGCCGUGGUGACGACGCAAACAGCACGCUGGAGGCAUUAAAUACAAGCACAAGGAAUUGGAUGAAAAGCAGUAAAAAAUAGGCCCAAAGCUUCCAGGAGAUAUGAGUAGUGACAGCAUGCACACACAUGCACCCCUUAAUGCUCAAACCUUUGUUUUAGCUGUUAGCAGUGAGUGCAUUUUAAGCCCAGACUUCAUGUUAAAAAACCUGGAAGAAGAUGUUUACACUGACCAUAAGAAACCCUAAAUGUUAAUGAAGAAAUUCACAGCAAAUGUUCGAUUUCAA
Long non-coding RNA from Xiphophorus couchianus (Monterrey platyfish), 818 nucleotides. RefSeq lists it as uncharacterized. Lineage: Eukaryota; Metazoa; Chordata; Actinopteri; Cyprinodontiformes; Poeciliidae. The record is from RefSeq and is a predicted model, not a curated record. The transcript is spliced from 2 exons.